RNAcentral lists this ribosomal RNA (409 nucleotides) under Actinomycetes bacterium. RNAcentral describes it as "Actinobacteria bacterium partial 16S ribosomal RNA". It matches the Rfam family "Bacterial small subunit ribosomal RNA", at positions 355 to 776 of the family's 1533-position model. Lineage: Bacteria; Bacillati; Actinomycetota; Actinomycetes. The record is from RNAcentral.
UGGGGAAUAUUGCACAAUGGGCGGAAGCCUGAUGCAGCGACGCCGCGUGGGGGAUGAAGGCCUUCGGGUCGUAAACUCCUUUCGACAGGGACGAAGCUUUUGUGACGGUACCUGUAUAAGAAGCACCGGCUAACUACGUGCCAGCAGCCGCGGUAAUACGUAGGGUGCGAGCGUUGUCCGGAAUUACUGGGCGUAAAGAGCUCGUAGGUGGUUUGUCGCGUCGUCUGUGAAAUUCCGGGGCUUAACUCCGGGCGUGCAGGCGAUACGGGCUGACUUGAGUGCUGUAGGGGAGACUGGAAUUCCUGGUGUAGCGGUGAAAUGCGCAGAUAUCAGGAGGAACACCGAUGGCGAAGGCAGGUCUCUGGGCAGUAACUGACGCUGAGGAGCGAAAGCAUGGGUAGCGAACAGG